UGGCUGAGUGGUUAAGCAUUUGACUUCUGAACCGAGGGUCCCAGGUUCGAAUCCUGG
This 57-nucleotide transfer RNA is filed under the name Biomphalaria glabrata. It matches the Rfam family "tRNA", at positions 8 to 63 of the family's 71-position model. From Rfam's summary of the family: Transfer RNA (tRNA) molecules are approximately 80 nucleotides in length. Their secondary structure includes four short double-helical elements and three loops (D, anti-codon, and T loops). Further hydrogen bonds mediate the characteristic L-shaped molecular structure. tRNAs have two regions of fundamental functional importance: the anti-codon, which is responsible for specific mRNA codon recognition, and the 3' end, to which the tRNAs corresponding amino acid is attached (by aminoacyl-tRNA synthetases). tRNAs cope with the degeneracy of the genetic code in two manners: having more than one tRNA (with a specific anti-codon) for a particular amino acid; and 'wobble' base-pairing, i.e. permitting non-standard base-pairing at the 3rd anti-codon position. Lineage: Eukaryota; Metazoa; Mollusca; Gastropoda; Planorbidae. The record is from Rfam by way of RNAcentral.